GCCGAAGGUCUUGGCGAUAAUGAUAAAAGGUACUCCGGGGAUAACAGGCUGAUACCGCCCAAGAGUUCAUAUCGACGGCGGUGUUUGGCACCUCGAUGUCGGCUCAUCACAUCCUGGGGCUGAAGUAGGUCCCAAGGGUAUGGCUGUU
RNAcentral lists this ribosomal RNA (148 nucleotides) under Salmonella enterica subsp. enterica serovar Kentucky. RNAcentral describes it as "partial 23S ribosomal RNA". It matches the Rfam family "Bacterial large subunit ribosomal RNA", at positions 2433 to 2581 of the family's 2925-position model. The record is from RNAcentral. Lineage: Bacteria; Pseudomonadati; Pseudomonadota; Gammaproteobacteria; Enterobacterales; Enterobacteriaceae.